CCAAUAGCGUAUAUUAAAGUUGUUGCAGUUAAAAAGCUCGUAGUUGAAUUUCGGGGUCAAUAAGUUGGUCAUGCCAAUGGUAUGCACUGGCUUUAUUGAUUCCUACCUCUUGACGAACUGUGAUGCCAUUAAUUUGGUGUUGCAAGGAAUCAGGACUGUUACCUUGAAAAAAUUAGAGUGUUUAAAGCAAGCUUACGCUUGAAUACAUUAGCAUGGAAUAAUGAAAUAGGACGUUUGAUCCUAUUUUGUUGGUUUCUAGGAUCGACGUAAUGAUUAAUAGGGAUAGUUGGGGGCAUUAGUAUUCAAUUGUCAGAGGUGAAAUUCUUGGAUUUAUUGAAGACUAACUACUGCGAAAGCAUUUGCCAAGGAUGUUUUCAUUAAUCAAGAACGAAAGUUAGGGGAUCGAAGACGAUCAGAUACCGUCGUAGUCUUAACCAUAAACUAUGCCGACUAGGGAUCGGAUGAUGUUAAUUUUUUAAUGACUCAUUCGGCGCCUUACG
Molecule: ribosomal RNA, 500 nt
Filed under: uncultured Glomeromycotina
Lineage: Eukaryota; Fungi; Glomeromycota
Description: partial small subunit ribosomal RNA
Rfam family: Eukaryotic small subunit ribosomal RNA
Source: RNAcentral